AGUAACGCGUGGGUAACCUGCCAUAUACAGGGGGAUAACACUUAGAAAUAGGUGCUAAUACCGCAUAAGCGCACAGUAUUGCAUGAGACAGUGUGAAAAACUACGGUGGUAUAUGAUGGACCCGCGUCUGAUUAGCUGGUUGGUGAGGUAACGGCCCACCAAGGCGACGAUCAGUAGCCGGCCUGAGAGGGUGGACGGCCACAUUGGGACUGAGACACGGCCCAAACUCCUACGGAAGGCAGCAG
Molecule: ribosomal RNA, 245 nt
Filed under: uncultured bacterium
Lineage: Bacteria
Description: partial 16S ribosomal RNA
Rfam family: Bacterial small subunit ribosomal RNA
Source: RNAcentral